UACGUAGGGGGCAAGCGUUGUCCGGAUUUAUUGGGCGUAAAGAGCGUGUAGGCGGCCAUACAGGUCCGUUGUGAAAACUCGAGGCUUAACCUCGAGACGUCGAUGGAAACCGUAUGGCUAGAGUCCGGAAGAGGAGAGUGGAAUUCCUGGUGUAACGGUGAAAUGCGCAGAUAUCAGGAAGAACACCCGUGGCGGAGGCGGCUCUCUGGGACGGUACUGACGCUGAGACGCGAAAGCGUGGGGAGCGAACAGG
Molecule: ribosomal RNA, 253 nt
Filed under: uncultured bacterium
Lineage: Bacteria
Description: partial 16S ribosomal RNA
Rfam family: Bacterial small subunit ribosomal RNA
Source: RNAcentral